RNAcentral lists this ribosomal RNA (820 nucleotides) under uncultured Desulfomicrobium sp. Its description in RNAcentral is "bacterial SSU rRNA". It matches the Rfam family "Bacterial small subunit ribosomal RNA", at positions 34 to 843 of the family's 1533-position model. Lineage: Bacteria; Pseudomonadati; Thermodesulfobacteriota; Desulfovibrionia; Desulfovibrionales; Desulfomicrobiaceae. The record is from RNAcentral.
CAUUGGGGCGUGCUACCAUGCAGUCGUACGAGAAAGGGGCUUCGGCCCUGAGUAGAGUGGCGCACGGGUGAGUAACGCGUGGGUAAUCUACCCUUGGAUUUGGGAUAACUCUGCGAAAGUGGAGCUAAUACCGGAUAGUCUGGCUUUAAAUAAGAAGUCGGUAAAGGAUGCCUCUGCAUAUGCAUUCGUCCGAGGAUGAGCCCGCGUCUCAUUAGCUAGUUGGUAGGGUAAUGGCCUACCAAGGCAACGAUGAGUAGCUGGUCUGAGAGGAUGAUCAGCCACACUGGAACUGAAACACGGUCCAGACUCCUACGGGAGGCAGCAGUGGGGAAUAUUGCGCAAUGGGCGAAAGCCUGACGCAGCAACGCCGUGUGAGGGAUGAAGGCUUUCGGGUCGUAAACCUCUGUCGGAAGGGAAGAACGGGCAUUGGUCUAAUAGGCCUUUGUUUUGACGGUACCUUUAGAGGAAGCACCGGCUAACUCCGUGCCAGCAGCCGCGGUAAUACGGAGGGUGCAAGCGUUAUUCGGAAUUACUGGGCGUAAAGCGCACGUAGGCGGCCUUGUAAGUCAGGGGUGAAAUCCCACGGCUCAACCGUGGAACUGCCUUUGAAACUGCAGGGCUUGAAUCCUGGAGAGGGUGGCGGAAUUCCUGGUGUAGGAGUGAAAUCCGUAGAUAUCAGGAGGAACACCGGUGGCGAAGGCGGCCACCUGGACAGGUAUUGACGCUGAGGUGCGAAAGUGUGGGGAGCAAACAGGAUUAGAUACCCUGGUAGUCCACACCGUAAACGAUGGAUACUAGGUGUCGGGGACUUGAUCUUCGG